Molecule: ribosomal RNA, 591 nt
Filed under: Saccharomyces cerevisiae (brewer's yeast)
Lineage: Eukaryota; Fungi; Ascomycota; Saccharomycetes; Saccharomycetales; Saccharomycetaceae
Description: LSU rRNA
Rfam family: Eukaryotic large subunit ribosomal RNA
Source: RNAcentral
CCAACCGGGAUUGCCUUAGUAACGGCGAGUGAAGCGGCAAAAGCUCAAAUUUGAAAUCUGGUACCUUCGGUGCCCGAGUUGUAAUUUGGAGAGGGCAACUUUGGGGCCGUUCCUUGUCUAUGUUCCUUGGAACAGGACGUCAUAGAGGGUGAGAAUCCCGUGUGGCGAGGAGUGCGGUUCUUUGUAAAGUGCCCUCGAAGAGUCGAGUUGUUUGGGAAUGCAGCUCUAAGUGGGUGGUAAAUUCCAUCUAAAGCUAAAUAUUGGCGAGAGACCGAUAGCGAACAAGUACAGUGAUGGAAAGAUGAAAAGAACUUUGAAAAGAGAGUGAAAAAGUACGUGAAAUUGUUGAAAGGGAAGGGCAUUUGAUCAGACAUGGUGUUUUGUGCCCUCUGCUCCUUGUGGGUAGGGGAAUCUCGCAUUUCACUGGGCCAGCAUCAGUUUUGGUGGCAGGAUAAAUCCAUAGGAAUGUAGCUUGCCUCGGUAAGUAUUAUAGCCUGUUGGGAAUACUGCCAGUUGGAACUGAGGACUGCAACGUAAGUCAAGGAUGCUGGCAUAAUGGUUAUAUGCCGCCCGUUGGAAAAACACGAACCC